AGUGAACGCUGGCGGUAGGCCUAACACAUGCAAGUCGAACGGCAGCACAGUAAGAGCUUGCUCUUACGGGUGGCGAGUGGCGGACGGGUGAGGAAUACAUCGGAAUCUACUUUUUCGUGGGGGAUAACGUAGGGAAACUUACGCUAAUGCCGCAUACGACCUACGGGUGAAAGCAGGGGAUCUUCGGACCUUGCGCGAUUGAAUGAGCCGAUGUCGGAUUAGCUAGUUGGCGGGGUAAAGGCCCACCAAGGCGACGAUCCGUAGCUGUUCUGAGAGGAUGAUCAGCCACACUGGAACUGAGACACGGUCCAGACUCCUACGGGAGGCAGCAGUGGGGAAUAUUGGACAAUGGGCGCAAGCCUGAUCCAGCCAUACCGCGUGGGUGAAGAAGGCCUUCGGGUUGUAAAGCCCUUUUGUUGGGAAAGAAAAGCAGCAGGUUAAUACCCCGCUGUUCUGACGGUACCCAAAGAAUAAGCACCGGCUAACUUCGUG
RNAcentral lists this ribosomal RNA (492 nucleotides) under uncultured bacterium. RNAcentral describes it as "partial 16S ribosomal RNA". It matches the Rfam family "Bacterial small subunit ribosomal RNA", at positions 29 to 507 of the family's 1533-position model. The record is from RNAcentral.